Molecule: unclassified non-coding RNA, 201 nt
Filed under: plant metagenome
Description: partial contains small subunit ribosomal RNA, internal transcribed spacer 1, and 5.8S ribosomal RNA
Source: RNAcentral
UCUCCGUUGGUGAACCAGCGGAGGGAUCAUUAUCGAGUUUAUAACUCCCAAACCCUAUGUGAACUUACCACUUGUUGCUUCGGCGCGCGCUUCGGCGCCGCCGAGGACACUUAAACUCUUUGUUUUUAUAAGCAUUCCCGAGUGGCCGAAAGGCAAAAUACAAAUGAAUCAAAACUUUCAACAACGGAUCUCUUGGUUCUG